Long non-coding RNA from Cloeon dipterum, 300 nucleotides. RefSeq lists it as uncharacterized. The transcript is spliced from 3 exons. NCBI's taxonomy places the organism in Eukaryota, Metazoa, Arthropoda, Insecta, Ephemeroptera, Baetidae. The record is from RefSeq and is a predicted model, not a curated record.
AUAAAAAGUGGAUCACUGGUGACGGAUCAAAUUUUGCGCAACUUAGAGGAUUUGACGGCCGACGACCCGCAAGCCAUGCAGAAUGGUUUUGGAAACUUCGAUUCCUGCGCUUCCUUUCAGUCCACUGACGAAUGCAACACGACGGCCCAGGUGUUCGGGUGUGGCAAGAAAAAUGCACCAGACCUGACAAUCGGACUCGUCACUGCCAACAAAGGAGACGCCACUGUUUCAGUAACUGCUACAGGGGGAAUUAAAACCACCGGGAGAGUGUGUCCUCUGUAUCCAAGUUGUGUUCCAAAU